UUCCCCUAGUAACGGCGAGUGAAGAGGGAAGAGCCCAAGAUUGAAAGCUGGCGUCUUCGGCGUCCGCAUUGUAAUCUCAAGAAGUGUUUUCCGCUUCGGACCAAGCCUAAGUCCCCUGGAAAGGGGCAUCAUAGAGGGUGAUAAUCCCGUACAUGGCUUGGAGCGCCCGAGGCUUUGUGAUACGCUUUCUAAGAGUCGAGUUGUUUGGGAAUGCAGCUCAAAAUGGGUGGUAAAUGCCAUCUAAGGCUAAAUAUUGGGGAGAGACCGAUAGCGAACAAGUACAGUGAUGGAAAGAUGAAAAGAACUUUGAAAAGAGAGUUAAACAGUACGUGAAAUUGCCAAAAGGGAAGGGUAGGAGGUCAGAGAUGCGGCCUGGGAUUCAGCCUUGCUUUUGCUUGGUGUUUUUCCCAGAUUGCAGGCCAACGUCGGUUUUGGGCACUGGAGAAGGGUAGGAGGAACGUGGCACCUCUCGGGGUGUGUUAUAGCCUCCUACUGGAUACAGCGACCGAGACCGAGGACAGCAGCGUACUCGCAAGAGCGGGCCUUCGGGCACCUUUACGCUUAGGGCGUUGGCAUAAUGGCCCUCUACCACCCGUCUUGAAACACGGACC
Molecule: ribosomal RNA, 611 nt
Filed under: Moesziomyces antarcticus
Lineage: Eukaryota; Fungi; Basidiomycota; Ustilaginomycetes; Ustilaginales; Ustilaginaceae
Description: partial large subunit ribosomal RNA
Rfam family: Eukaryotic large subunit ribosomal RNA
Source: RNAcentral